Molecule: unclassified non-coding RNA, 250 nt
Filed under: plant metagenome
Description: partial contains small subunit ribosomal RNA, internal transcribed spacer 1, and 5.8S ribosomal RNA
Source: RNAcentral
GUAGGUGAACCUGCGGAAGGAUCAUUAACACGUUUCACAACGUAUCAACCAAACCGCGAACUAUGAACGUCUUUUUUAUUCAUGUUUUGGGAGGGCUGUUGGCGGGACGGACAUGGCUGUCAUGGCUAUGUUGAACAGGAAGUGGUGCGCAAGCGCUAUCUCUCUGUGUACGACCAGCCACUCCCCUUCUAUGAACAUGUCUUAUUUAACCCAAACCCAUUUGUUUAUUCAUUUAUUCUUAAAGAUACGC